GACGAACGCUGGCGGCGUGCUUAACACAUGCCAGUCGAACGGAAAGGCCCUGCUUUUGUGGGGUGCUCGAGUGGCGAACGGGUGAGUAACACGUGAGUAACCUGCCCUUGACUUUGGGAUAACUUCAGGAAACUGGGGCUAAUACCGGAUAGGAGCUCCUGCUGCAUGGUGGGGGUUGGAAAGUUUCGGCGGUUGGGGAUGGACUCGCGGCUUAUCAGCUUGUUGGUGGGGUAGUGGCUUACCAAGGCUUUGACGGGUAGCCGGCCUGAGAGGGUGACCGGCCAAAUUGGGACUGAGAUACGGCCCAGACUCCUACGGGAGGCAGCAGUGGGGAAUAUUGCACAAUGGGCGGAAGCCUGAUGCAGCAACGCCGUGUGCGGGAUGACGGCCUUCGGGUUGUAAACCGCUUUCGCCUGUGACGAAGCGUGAGUGACGGUAAUGGGUAAAGAAGCACCGGCUAACUACGUG
RNAcentral lists this ribosomal RNA (468 nucleotides) under uncultured bacterium. Its description in RNAcentral is "partial 16S ribosomal RNA". It matches the Rfam family "Bacterial small subunit ribosomal RNA", at positions 28 to 507 of the family's 1533-position model. The record is from RNAcentral.